This 468-nucleotide ribosomal RNA is filed under the name uncultured bacterium. RNAcentral's name for it is "partial 16S ribosomal RNA". It matches the Rfam family "Bacterial small subunit ribosomal RNA", at positions 28 to 507 of the family's 1533-position model. The record is from RNAcentral.
GACGAACGCUGGCGGCGCGCCUAACACAUGCAAGUCGAACGGAGUCAAGAGGAGCUUGCUUUUCUUGACUUAGUGGCGAACGGGUGAGUAACGCGUGAGUAACCUGCCCUGGAGUGGGGGACAACAGUUGGAAACGACUGCUAAUACCGCAUAAGCCCACGGAUCUGCAUGGAUCUGCGGGAAAAGGAUUUAUUCGCUCUAGGAUGGACUCACGUCCAAUUAGCUAGUUGGUGAGGUAACGGCCCACCAAGGCGACGAUUGGUAGCCGGACUGAGAGGUUGAACGGCCACAUUGGGACUGAGACACGGCCCAGACUCCUACGGGAGGCAGCAGUGGGGGAUAUUGCACAAUGGGGGAAACCCUGAUGCAGCGACGCCGCGUGGAGGAAGAAGGUUUUCGGAUCGUAAACUCCUGUCGUUAGGGACGAUAAUGACGGUACCUAACAAGAAAGCACCAGCUAACUACGUG